AUACGUAGGGGGCGAGCGUUGUCCGGAAUGAUUGGGCGUAAAGGGCGCGUAGGCGGCGCGGGAAGUCUGGAGUGAAAGUCCUGCUUUCAAGGUGGGAAUUGCUUUGGAUACUGCCGCGCUUGAGUGCAGGAGAGGUUAUCGGAAUUCCCGGUGUAGCGGUGAAAUGCGUAGAGAUCGGGAGGAACACCAGUGGCGAAGGCGGGUAACUGGACUGCAACUGACGCUGAGGCGCGAAAGUGUGGGGAGCAAACAGGAUUAGAUACCCUGGUAGUCCACACUGUAAACGAUGAAUGCUAGGUGUAAGAGGUAUCGACCCCUUUUGUGCCGGAGUCAACACAAUAAGCAUUCCGCCUGGGGAGUACGGCCGCAAGGUUGAAACUCAAAGGAAUUGGCGGGG
RNAcentral lists this ribosomal RNA (397 nucleotides) under uncultured bacterium. RNAcentral's name for it is "partial 16S ribosomal RNA". It matches the Rfam family "Bacterial small subunit ribosomal RNA", at positions 523 to 918 of the family's 1533-position model. The record is from RNAcentral.